Molecule: microRNA precursor, 62 nt
Filed under: Callorhinchus milii (elephant shark)
Lineage: Eukaryota; Metazoa; Chordata; Chondrichthyes; Chimaeriformes; Callorhinchidae
Description: Cmi-Mir-10-P3d_pre stem-loop
Source: RNAcentral
UCCCUGAGACCCUAACUUGUGAUGUUUAACUUCUUAAUCCACGGGUUAGGCUCUUGGGAUCU